This 294-nucleotide ribosomal RNA is filed under the name uncultured bacterium. RNAcentral describes it as "partial 16S ribosomal RNA". It matches the Rfam family "Bacterial small subunit ribosomal RNA", at positions 333 to 643 of the family's 1533-position model. The record is from RNAcentral.
UGAGUCCUACGGGAGGCAGCAGUGGGGAAUAUUGCACAAUGGGGGAAACCCUGAUGCAGCAACGCCGCGUGAGUGAAGAAGUAUUUCGGUAUGUAAAGCUCUAUCAGCAGGGAAGAAGAAAGACGGUACCUGACUAAGAAGCCCCGGCUAACUACGUGCCAGCAGCCGCGGUAAUACGUAGGGGGCAAGCGUUAUCCGGAUUUACUGGGUGUAAAGGGAGCGUAGACGGUACGCCAAGUCUGAAGUGAAAUGCCGCAGCUUAACUGCGGAACUGCUUUGGAAACUGGCGGGCUG